RNAcentral lists this unclassified non-coding RNA (381 nucleotides) under Hevea brasiliensis (rubber tree). The record is from RNAcentral. Lineage: Eukaryota; Viridiplantae; Streptophyta; Magnoliopsida; Malpighiales; Euphorbiaceae.
UGGCUCUCAAAUCAUGAAGAAGGAACAGAUGAGUAAUAGCUUUGGACUAAAACCCACAACUUUGGGAAUCAAACCCACAACUUUGGAACUCAAACCCAGAAAAAGGAAAAUAGCUUUUGGGACUCAAACCAUAACUUUAUGCAGAAGGAGGACACUAAGAAAGGAGAAACCCCGAAAUUUUAUGUAGGCUUUAAUACCACGUUAAUUUUUGGAAAGAGAGAAACCCCGAAAUUUUAUGUAGGCUUUAAUACCACGUUAAUUUUUGGAAAGAGAGAACCACAAGAAAGAGAGGAAGGAAAAUAAAACCAGAGAAGGGACUUCAAACCUUACAAGCUCUAAUGAAGGAGAAGAAGAGAAUAGAGACUUCAACCCUUGGCUCUC